RNAcentral lists this ribozyme (116 nucleotides) under Aedes aegypti (yellow fever mosquito). Its description in RNAcentral is "drz-agam-1 ribozyme". It matches the Rfam family "drz-agam-1 ribozyme". Lineage: Eukaryota; Metazoa; Arthropoda; Insecta; Diptera; Culicidae. The record is from Rfam by way of RNAcentral.
UGCCCAGCAACCCCUAUCCCUACCUCCUCGUGGUACUGUCCUGGGUACGAGUAACCUUAGGGAAGUUCGGGUAACCAACCCCGGUGGGAACUUUGGUCGUAAGCUGACAGGGAUGG